GCCAGCAUAGCUCCUCAGAGGUUAUAGCAUCGCAUUUGUAAUGUGACGGUCAUUGGUUCAAUUCUAAUAGCCGGCU
Non-coding RNA from Ilex paraguariensis (yerba mate), 76 nucleotides. The record is from the annotation of a GenBank genome assembly. Lineage: Eukaryota; Viridiplantae; Streptophyta; Magnoliopsida; Aquifoliales; Aquifoliaceae.